AACCUACAAUAAACUUUUUGUUUUCCUUUGGAGAUUAUUUUUAAUAGAGAAUAGGGCGGACUCAUAGCUAAAGCCCAUGAAGCAAAGACUUUAGGCAGCAAUAGUUAUAACUAGUUUUAAGGACAUUAUCUUUAAAAAAACGUUACCGAAGUCUAGUAGUCUGUCCGAACUUUUUUAAUGUCUAGGCAGGUCACAGUUUCUAUUCCCAUUAUUGUUAAAACUUAUAUUUUUUUUUAUUUUUUUGACAGUUUUUGUUAAUGGGCCAAACUUUUUUUGCUUUAGGCAUCCAAAGAGUUUGGGCCGGCCCUGCUUGAGAUUGUGAUGUAUAUCAGUAUAUACAACAGCCAAAUCGGACCAACCUGUAAAAGCCGCCGCGCAUAGCUACCUUCCAUGAUACGGGCAAAAGAAGAUGCAUGAGAGUAAUAAUUGCCUUCGAAACGGUCAUAUAUAUCUGGAUGUGCAUCAAGAUGAAGAAUAUCCACGGGUCCUCCCAGUUUCUCCGAAACCGCUCUCACAACAGGAUAAGAUAUGGAAUGGUCUCCUCCUAUGACUAGCGGGCGCAAUGGUUCCUGACACAACAAACAAAACUUAGUUACUUCAUUGGCCUUAAAUAAGAAAUUUCUUGACCUCAAACACUAAGGUGUGGAUGUCGGAUUCACACACUCAAGUAUUUUGUUUAAGUGGGAAAGAUUAUUCUUGAGGGACAAAAAUGAAUAUGUAAAAACUUAUAAAUUGAUACGAAAACUGCUAUAGUAUUUCUCUCUUGAGAGGAAGAUCCCCUUUACAUGGCCAUUGGCCUCUAUAUUUAUACACCGAUAAACGACAUUAAAAUGAGUAAUUAAGCACAAUUAUUUCUUCUUAAAUGUGUCCGUUUUGAUUCUUCGGCUUUAAUGCUCAACGUUUGAAUUUGAGUUGACUCUGAUCUUCAUGGGCCUCGCCUCUUUCGGCCCAAGUGUCCUUGAACCGACUUACCCGUGUCUUCUACACCGAACUCGUGUCACAGUGCAGUCACUUCGGAUUCUCGAAAUGGUGACAACCACUUCGACCGUUCCUUCGGCUCACGGGUCCAAUGGGCUUCAUCCUUUAUGGGCCAUUAUCUUGAUCACGUGGCAAUCUUUGGUUGGUCUCGUACUUCUGGUGCGGGAUCCGACACCAACAAUUAGCCCCCCAAGUUCUUCGAAGUGCUAUUCCAGUUCGGAGGACUUUAAAUGCUCAAGUGGCCAAAGAUUGCGCUCGAGAAUCUUUCUGAUUUCCCGCCAAAAAUCUCAUCACUCCUUUAAUUUUGGCACUAUCCAUUUUUAACCGAGUGACAUCUGUCAUCAUUAUGACCGUAUAUUGGUUAAUUACUAUUAAAACGGGAAAAACCUUCCCACUUCCCACACGACUUCCGAGGCGGUUUCAUCAUUAGCUUGAGGUAACUUCUUUUCACCAUUACUCUCUUCUUUUUACUUUUGUACUUUAAUCAAAAAACCUCUCUCUUCGUUCUUUCACCAAAACCCUUCUUCGCCGGAUCUUGAAUUUUUCUAUCUUCCCAAUGGCUUCCGAUUUCGAUAGACCCGAGUCUCCGUCUUUCGAUGAGAGGCGUUCUAGCAAUGACGAGUGCACCCGCUCUGAUGAUAUUGCCGGUCCGCACUAUAGGUCCACUUGUACUCUUCAAUCCCUCGAGCGGUUGAAAGAGCUUUGCCGGAUUCCGCCGGAAAUUAUGGCGGAAGCUCAAAUAGCUUCCCCCACAGAAUCCCCAGAGAACCAUCGCGAUGGUUACUUCUGUGUGUACGAGAUUUAUUUCAAGGGUUGCGGGCUGUCCUUUCCUCUUCCCGAAGCCCUAGUUCUAUACCUAGCGGCUCUUGAAAUCGCUCUUCCUCAAUUAACCCCCAAUCUUCUCCGUACUAUUCUUGGAAUUAUAACAAUCGCGGCGGAGGCCGGUUAUGUUAUCGGAGUUGCUGAACUAAAUGAGCUUCUGAGCGUGAGAAGUUCAUCGAAGAAAACGGGAUAUUUCUCAGCAUAUCCUAAUCCCAACAGGAACAUCAUUUCACAUCUUCCGAACAAGGAUGAAAAUUGGCAUCAUCCUUGGUUUCUAAUUAAGAAAACCCCCGCUUCGAUUGGAAAUCUCGCUGAUUUUCUCCCUUCGAAGUGGUCUGCGAAACCCGGUAGUGAUUAGGUUGCCCGUAUCUUUCCCGGUUGUUUCUUUAUCUUUAUUGACUAACACCGUUGUUUCAUUUCGCAGCUUUCAUCGCUUCCAACCUCCCAUCUGAAGAGUUCAUCGAAUUCUUCAAAAUAAUUCUUGAAGGGGAAACCCUUUGGAAUUCCUUCACUCUUGAACGAUUCCUGGAAGCUAACCACAGACUCAGGAUGAGUCCGCCUGGUCAUCUUCACCAAAUUCCUCCCCCUCCUUCAACUCAAGGAAUGUCAUCUCGGGCCCUUGCGGCCAAGCGUAAGUUGCUUUCCAAGCCGAUGGCUGAGGCUUGCGAGGAGAAGAAAAAGUUCCUCGCGACUUCUAUAGACAAGAAGGACUACAGUAGAACCUUGCUGGUUGAUGAUGGCAGCACCGAGGGAGCUCGAUCUGUCGCUUUCUUCAGAUUAACUCCUCGUCGCGAUCAUCGCGACUCACGUUCUCCUCGGAGGGUUCAAUCUCCUCGCCGUGAUUCACCUCGUCCUCCCCGAGAUGAUUUUAGUAACGAGCCAAUUAAGAACUUGGUUCGCCGGAAGAGAGACAAGUCCUCUCGCAGCGAUUCUUCUCCGCAGAGGGAAAAGUCGAGGGCCCGGACUGACCGCUCACCUCGAUCAUCUCCUCCUCUUGAACCAAUGGGUCCUCCACGUCCGGUUGAUAUGUCUUCCUCCUCCCAGCCUGAUAGUGGAAAGACUGCCCGGAGUGCGUCUCCGAAAAAGGGAGAUUCUGAAUCUCGAGAUGCUUCCUCGAGGUUAAAACCUGCUCUUGUCCCUCAAGUCAAAUCGCUUUCAGGUUUGGUGAUUUACAUACUUCAACUUUUUGUCUUUAUUAAAAUUCCAAUUUUUACAACUCUUCCUUCUUCGCAGCUAUGGAGAAAGAGGGCAGCGUCUUCCGAUGCUUCAAGACCCGAUCGGGCUCGAUCCUGCCAGACUUCGACAAAUGGCGCCCUGCGAUUCGUGAACGCUAUUUGCUUCACGCGCAUCACUCAUCUCGGGUUAGUUCCAUUUUUUUUUUUUUUUUUUUUUUUUUUUUUUUUUGCAUUGCCAUUCUGCGAACUGACUCACCAUCCCUGGUUCAUGUAUAAUGCCAGGCUCAGAGCGAAUUUAACGACAUGAUCGAACAUUACGAAGGGUUGGUCAUUGGACGGGAGAAGGAGAUUGACAUGUGGAAGAAGAAAUUCUCAGCUCUUGAGGCUGACCUCAACUCUUCUGCUGGCUCUAAGCACGAUCUGGAGGAUAAGGUCGAUAGGUUGACGUCAGAGUUGGCGCAGGUAAAGGGGGAACUGCAAGACUACUAUGACCAGAAUUACAAACUCCAGGACGAACUGUCUGGUGUUCAGGGUAGACUUCACGAAUCCGAAUCAACCGCCGACACCCUGAACAACCAACUUAUCGAGCUUGACGCGAAGUACAAGGCGCUAGCCAAGUUGCGUGAUUCUGAGUUGGCAAGGUCGGCAUCGAAGGCCAGAAAGGAGGUUAAGGGACGCGGGAUGGAAUUGAUCCAAGGGGCCAUUCGCUUCAUGCAAACCGAGAAAGCUAGGUCGGACUUGGAGUCAGACAUCAAGGAGCACGAAAGCAACUUGAUUCUGCUGGACCAAAUCCAUGAAGCAGAUUUCUCCGAGGAGCAAGAAAGGACCGAGCUGUCGACUAACCUUUCUGAGAAACGGAGUCGCUUAGCAGCUCUUCCCACUUCGAUCUUCAACCCGCUUGACUUCGAGGCAUUCUUUACUGAAUCACCUCCUAUCAGUGAAUCGGGUUUAGACUGGGCAGGUAACGCUUGGCUCCUGUGGCUUACCUUUUUCUUACCUUGUACCUUUGAUUGACUGGAAUCAUUAUUUCUAGGUUCAAGUGAGACGGAAGACGUUGUCCCGCCCGCAGCUCCAAUGGUACCAGAGGUCACUCCGGAGGUUGGUUGUACCGCGGAGGGUGGUCAAGGAGCUUCAUCUGAUCAAGCAGCUGCCAAGGACGCGAAUGAAGCUUCGAUUGUUGAGCCGGAUUCCGAGGUGGCUGCUGCUCCGUAGUGGCUGUGUCCACUUUAAAUUGGGGAUUGUCCCUUUAUCUUUAAGACUUAAUUUAUUUUUGGCCUAAGGAGGUUUUAUUGUUUCUUUUGAACAAGAUAUUUGCCUGAGGAGGCUUUUAAACCUUUCUAGGUUGUGACCCAAGGGGGUUUAGUUAAAAUUAUAUGCGGGUUUGCAAAGUCCGCUUUUAACCUUUUGUGGCCUUGUGGCAAUGCUUUCGAGAUUUUUAGGCUGAUCAGACCUUUCUCUUUAAAAUGCGAGAGCUGAGCUCGGCUUAAAGCGAGUUCCCCACUUCGAGUUUAGUCAACUCGGUAAACUUGUUGGGCUUGGGCCUUAGAAACUUUUACAGUUAAUGCGACGGUUGCUCUUUCCCUUCUUAAAGAAAACGGCUCGUCUUUUAAUGCAAUAAUUGCCUUUUCUCGAUUUUCCAAAAAUGGUUUAACCCACUCGGAAACGCUACCAUUAAUGGAUUUAUGGUUUCAAGACAAACCCUAAAUCAUUAUAAAUAAAGGCUUACCUACCUCUUAGGCUUUAUUAAACAUGACUAUAGAAUCUCACUUGAGAAAUAUUUUAAGAAUGGAAAACGAAGAAGUAGCCCCCAUCAAUCCCGGCAGCCCACUUUUCUUGUCCGGCGACGGCUUUGAACCGGCCGGCGUUCUCUUCCCUCACGCCGUCUUUCACUUUCCUCCGAAGGAGAAGAAAGAGGCUUGCGAUUUUAUCGACAAGGUAAAUAUUAAAGUUUUUGAUUUAAAACUUCUUGUUUUGCCUUAUUCACUCAUUUUUAUGCUAGGUCGCCGACAAGCACCGUCGCCUGUGUGAAGAGAGGCAGCGGCUGGGACUCAAAAGGCAGACGCUCGAGGCUCGUAUCGCUCGGGUGGAAAGGAAGAUACGGGCUUUGGAGAGUGAUCCCUUUCAGUGGGAGUGGCGGAACUUCGAUUCCGUUGCUGAGAUCCCGAAGAUGCUUCGGAUGUAUCUCCGUGCUAGAGGAGUCCCGGGUCCCGUGAAUGCCCCUGUCUUCGCCGUUCCAUCCGACAAUGAAGAGGAAGAGGACUUGGAGGAGGAGGCCAGCAACUGCCGGGAACGCGUUCACGAUCGUUCCGAAGUGGAUGCCAAAAACAAGGCGUCCACUUCGAAAACUAAACCGGCGAUGAAGGAGCCUGUUCCUGAGCCUCUCCCAUAAAUGUUCCUUAAUUUCUUCACUUCUUCUCUCUUUUUUUUUUUUUAAAACUCGUAAUGGGCUUCGGCCCUUUUUAAUUUUAUGGAAAUAUUUGCUACUUUCCUUUUUUUCCAAAUAUUCUUGGAGAUGCAUCUUUUAAUGCAGGAUCUGUUCGAGGGCAUGAAUCUCUCCGCGAAUUACUCCAUUCCUUGGAUGGAAUCCGCAGCUUGCUAAGGAUAUGGGGUUCCUAUAAAUUAUAGGUUCAAUUUCCCUUUACUUCUCACCCUUCUUUUUUUUAUUUUAGCAGGUAUGGAGUUCAAUCUACGCUGUUCAGAAUCUAUGCCUGACUUCUCCACAAUCGGAAUGAUGAACGAAGAUGUUCCAAAUGAGCCCAACAGGCAGACUCCUCCACUUCGCGGCUUCUUGAGAUCUCAAAUCCGAGCCCCAUGUGCUUUGAUCAGGGAUCUCCCAAUCAGAGACCAAGGAACGGCGACGGCGUUCAUAGAGGCGCUCGAACUUCAACACCGGAAGCUUAUGUCGGAAAAGAGGAGACUUCGGAAGAGGAUUAACCGGAUGCAACGCAGGCUUACUACGGUGUCAAGAGAUCUUCACAUCCUUGAAUCUCACCCCGGAGAGUGGAUUGAACUUGGAAUUUCAGACUUUGCUCGAAUUCCGGAAUGCAUGAUGCCAAUCCUCGAUCUUGCUGGUCAAGGAGUUGAAGUGUUCUGCUCGUCAACAAGGUUUUUGUAGUUCGAAGUGUACGAUGUGGGACACUUCGUCUUUUUUUUUUUUUUUUGAACAAACGCUUUAUUUUCAAUCUCUUGUAUGUUCGCAUAGCCGAACCUUCUUCCUUUAAUAAAGAAAUAAAACAAAAAUUUUAUUAAUAGCUGAACUCGUUUUCGAGCUGCCUACGUACCCAUUUCGGGAUCAAGCCAAAUCGUAGUUCAUGUACAUAAACAAUGCAUGUAGGUUUUAAACAUAAAACUUCUUUAGGUUGAUCACAUUCCAAGGUCGCUUGACCGGAUUGUCUUCUAAGUCUUUCAACCUAUAAACACCGUUCCGAACCACUGCGGUAAUGAUGUAAGGUCCUUCCCAAUUAAUACCGAGUUUGCCGGCACCUUCUUCUUUUUUGUUGUCAAAGACGCGCCUUAAUACAUAAUCUCCCACGAAGAAAGGCCUGCUUUUAACCUUAGAAUUGUAAUACCGGGCUGCUGCCUGCUGGUAAUUCUGGAUCCGAAUUAGAGCUUGAUCACGCCUUUCAUUUAUGGUAUCUAGUGAAUCAUUAAGCAUUGCUGAAUUUUCUUCCUCAUUUAACGGUGCUUCUGUUCGACGAAGUCCGGGCACAUUGAGUUCAGCUGGUACUACCGCCUCCAUGCCAUAAACCAAAGAGAAUGGAGUUUCUCCUGUAGGUCGCCUAGGGGUUGUACGAUAGGCCCACAGGACGGGUUGGAGUUCUUCAUACCAUCCUCCCUUUAGAUGACUUAAGCGCUUCUUGAGAUUGCUUAAUAUUGUCUUGUUCGCGGCUUCGGCUUGACCGUUUCCUUGCGGGUAUCGUGGAGUAGAAUAACUAACUUUAAUUCCCCAGUCCAUACAAAAGGCAUCAAACUCGUGUGAAAUGAAUUGCGGUCCAUUAUCAGUGACUAUUUCGUACGGAACUCCAUGUCGACAUAUAAUGUUUUUCCAAAUAAAGGUCUUCACCGCCGAAUCCUUUAUACCAACAUACGCUUCAGCUUCAAUCCAUUUCGAAAAGUAGUCCGUAAGGACUAAAAGGUACUGUACACCUCGAGUUGAUUUGUGCAAUGGUCCAAUGAUGUCCAUUGACCACCUCAUAAACGGGUAUGGGGCGGAAAUGGAGGAGAAUAACUCCGACGGUUGAUGGAUUAAUGGUGCAUGGAGUUGGCAGCGCUUGCAUCUUUGGGCAAACUUAACACAAUCUGUGAUCAUAGUGGGCCAAAAGUACCCCAUUCUUUUAACUUUAAAAGCCAUAGCUCUUCCUGAUGAAUGACUUCCACAUAAUCCUUCAUGCACUUCGCUCAUGACGAUUUCGACUUCGGACCCGAAAAUGCAUAAUAGGUAAGGGUCACUAACACCUCGUCUAUAUAACGCAUUUUUUGAUAGACAAAAUUUCGCGCUAACGACUUUCAUUUUCCUGGCCUGCCAUUUAUUCUUUGGGAGCUCGCCUGUCGUGAUGUAGUGCUUUAUUGGCUCCCUCCAGUCAGCCCCCCAGUCUUUAGCCGGAAUUUGGUCAACUUUGUGAAAUAUCCGUGGCUCUGGUUCGGGAUGUUCGUUUGGUUCAAGAAUAUUCUCCUCGAGUAAUGGCUCGGUCUCUAACAUCGUUUCUGGAAUCAUUUCUUCAGCUAAGACAACGGGUUCCUUGUUAGAUGUAUUUGAUCCCUUUGACUUCCUUCGUUUGUUGGGUGGCGGUUCGAUCUCUGGUUCGCCACGGUCGCGUGCCGCUGCUCGAGACCUUGUAACGACGAGGGUUUCCUUGCUGUCUUGAAUGCUUCGCUCCGAGAUGCAUUCUACUGGAAUAACUCUUUUUAACUCAGGAUCUGAUGUUGACGCCAAUGCGGCAAGUGCAUCUGCAGUUGUAUUCUCUCCCCGAGGUAUACGGAUUAAUUCAAAUUUCGAGAAAUUUUUAGAUAGAUCCUUCACCACUUCGAGGUAUGCUUCCAUUCUUGAAUCUUUGGCCUCAUAGUCUCCAUUAAAUUGGUUAACUACUAAUUGCGAAUCGCAAUAAGCCAAUAUUUCCUUAGCUCCAACUCCUUGUGCUAGUCGAAGUCCGGCAAUAAGGGCUUCGUAUUCUGCCUCGUUGUUGGAGGCAUUGAAUAACAAUCGGAAUGAUUGUUCUAGAAUUUCUGAUGUUGGAGAUUCCAACUUGAUUCCCACCCCGGAUCCUUGUUUUGUUGAAGACCCGUCUACGUGUAAUUUCCAAGUUUGGUUCUCCGGUUGCUCUAUCGUUCCAGGUAUUGGUAGUUCGGUCAGGAAGUCUGCUAAGACCUGAGCCUUCAUACUGAUCCGGCUUUUGAACUCUAUGUCGUACUCGCUUAAUUCCACCGCCCAUUUCGCCAAACGUCCGGACUGACUUAGACUAUGAAGUAUUGUUCGGAGUGGUUGGUUAGUUAAUACUUCAACCGGAUGGGAUUGAAAAUAUGGACGCAGCUUCCGAGCCGAAGUUACCACCGCGAGUGCGAGUUUUUCCAUCAUUGUGUACCUGGUUUCCGGAUCCGUCAUUGACUUGCUCACGUAGUAAAUUGGAUUCUGCUCUCCACGGUCUUCCCGAACCAAGACUCCACUAACCGCGUGGUUUGAAACUGAUACGUACAAGUAAAGUUUUUUAUCCACUUCUGGUUUGGACAGUAUUGGUGGAGUGGUUAAGUAUGCCUUAAGCUGCCCAAAAGCUUCUUCACACUUCUCAUCCCAAAGGAAUCCUUUGUUCCCUUUUAGAAUUUGGUAGAAAGGCAACGACUUAUCUGUUGAUCUCGAGAUAAAACGGUUCAAAGCCGCAAUCCGCCCAGUCAACCGUUGUACUUCUUUGAAGUUUCUUGGAGAUGGCAUGUUUAGAAAGGCGUUAAUUUGAUUUGGAUUGGCUUCAAUCCCUCUUUCUGUCACGAUAUAGCCAAGAAAUUCUCCGGAUGGGACUCCAAAUGUGCACUUUGCCGGGUUCAGCUUCAUUUGAUAUUUAUUGAGAAUAUCAAAACAUUCCUCCAAAUGUUUAACAUGAUCUUCUUUCUUCAAGGAUUUAACCAACAUAUCAUCUAUGUAGACUUCCAUAGUCUUCCCGAGGUGAUUGUGAAACAUUUUGUUCACCAACCGUUGGUAAGUUGCUCCUGCAUUUUUUAAACCAAAAGGCAUUACCUUGUAACAGUAGAUACCUCUAUCUGUGAUAAAUGACGUCUUUUCUUGAUCUUUGGGGUUCAUCAUUAUCUGAUUAUAACCCGAGAAGGCGUCCAUGAACGUUAACAGCUCAUUUCCAGCGGUGGACUCUACAAGUCGAUCUAUAUGCGGGAGCGGGAAACUAUCUUUAGGACAUGCUUUAUUCAGGUCUGUAAAAUCGAUGCAAACCCUAUCUUUCCCGUUCUUUUUCUUGACAACGACAGUGUUUGCUACCCACUCCGGAUAUUGCACUUCUCUUAUGGACCCUAUCUUCAAAAGUUUAUCCACUUCGUCGUUUACUAUUUUUGCCCGCUCCAUUCCUAGCUUUCUUCUUUUUUGUUUUACCGGUUUGAAGCUUGGAUCCACGUUUAGUUCAUGACAAAUUAUACUCGGAUUUAUACCAGGCAUGUCCGCUGCUGACCAUGCAAAUGAUGCUUUGUUUUUCCUUAAGAGUUCGAUCAAAGCUUCUUUUAUUUGGCCAGUCAAAGUUGCUCCAAUUCGAAUUUUCUGGUCCGGCUUGUCUUCUUCCAAUACCACUUCGAUUACUACAUCAUCUUUCUUCUGCCCGCUAGGAAAUUUUGUUCUUAGUCCUUCUUUUACGGGCUUCGUUAGUUGCUAUUGAAUCUUCAUACGGUGGCUAGCUAGGUAGCACGUCCGUGAAGCUUCUUGAUCUCCCCGAAUUGUUUCCACCCCAUUUGAUGUUGGAAAUUUGAUACAUUGAUGGUAUGUAGAGGGGACUGCUUUCAUCCGAUAAAUCCAGGGAGUCCCGAGGAUGAUGUUAUAAGCUGCGGGCUUAUCGAAGACGACGAAGUCCACGAUCUUCGAUACCUUCUUGGCAAGGACCGGUAGCUUGAUUGUUCCGAGAGACAUGGCUGACUCGCUUGUGAACGCAACUAAUGGAGACGGAGGUCCUACUAUGUCUCCUCGGCUGAUUCCCAUUUUUUCUAGAGUACUUAAAAAGAUCAAGUCGACCGAACUGCCUGUAUCUAUAAGGAUCCUUGAUACUUCGAAGUUUGCGACAUCAAGAGUAAUGACUAGAGCAUCGUCAUGCCGUCUUUCGAGAUGCCGCGUUUCUUCUUCGUUAAAUGAUAUUGAAGCACCUUGAAAAUCAAUUUCUUCGCUCAAACUUGCUUUGAGUAAGACAUUUCGCCUAUGCUUUUUGAUGGAACUUAUUGAAUCUCCGCAAAAUCUGGAACCUCCUAGAAUCACAUUGAUCUUACCCUUCGAACUCCUUGGUUCUUCCUCGUUGGAUAACCUUGGUCUUUUGGAAUCUUGAUCUUUGGAGUUUUCUUUUGCUUCGUGGUAUUCCUUCACAAAAUCUUUUAUAUCGAAUUUAGAAAGAUCGCCACUAGCCCAAAGCUCUGCGAGGUGCUUUUUAAGAACGCUGCAAUCCUUGGUUAAAUGUCCGGUUACUUUAUGAAUGUCGCAAUACAGACUUUCAUCACGGACCCAAGUGUUUGAUCUUCCUUUCCCUUGGAAUUGCUUCCCGACGGAAUUGUUGAAGGGUUGCGACCCAAACUUCUUUGGUCCUUUGCUCUCUCUAGGCUCGAACUUCUUGGUAGGGACGGUGAUUGCCGGCUUUUCUUGUUUAUUCCGUUUGGCAAAACUUUCUUUUUCGUCUUCUACCUCCAUCCAAUUGUUUGCGCGGAAGAGUGCAUCCUGAAUUGUGUCUGGUUUAUGAAGUAUUAAGUCUUCUUUAAACCUUGAAUCGUGUCGCAAUCCUUUUCGUAGGGCAGAUAAAGCUGAUUGCUGUGAGAUUCUUGGGAGUUUUGACAGCACUCCUUUGAAUUUGGUGAUGAAAACUCGAAGUGACUCAUUAGAUCCUUGCGUUAAGUUCCAAAGAUCGGCAUCCGAAACGCUUUUAUCCAUAAGGAUAGAGUAUUGCUUUAAGAACACGGCUGAUAGUUCGUCGAAAUUGCUGAUCGAACCCGGCUCUAAUUGGGUGAACCACAUUAGAGCUUGGCCACAUAGAUUCUCCGAAAAUAGCUUGCAAUAGCCUGCGUCCUCAUCAGCUUCAUCCAAUUCGACUCUUCCUGCGGCGAUCAGAAAGGCUGCGAGAUAGCUUUUUGGAUCUUCCAAUCCGCUGUAAGGGUCCAAUUUGAGUUUCCGGGAAUCUUUGAUCCUUAAACUCGCGAUUCGCGGGAUGAAAGGUGUUCGCCUAGCUUCUUCAAUGACUCGAUUGAUGUCUGGCUCCGAACUUGUAGCCUGGUGAAAUUUUGAUUUCAUUUCUUUUAAUUCCUGGCUAACCUUCCUCAUGGUCUCGAACUGGUCGAGGUUCUCCUGCUCGUACUGAGCUGCAAGUUGUUCUUCAUCCCCGAGUUGCGUCUCUUCUUCCGACGUCUGAGCUACAUUAUUAGUAGCACCGGGAGUUGUUUGUCCGCUGGUUUCAUUUCGUGCAGCGGAACUUGGCGAGUUGAAUAUCCCUCUUCGGAUUCCCACCGGGUUUCCUGCACUUAAAGAGCGAACACGAGUUUGUAUAGUAUUGACGUUUUGACUAAGAGAUACCUGGGAUGUUUGAAAUGUAUCGACGGCCUUUUCCACGUCCGAGAACUUUUGUGAUAUGUCCGCCAUGGUUUGCUGCAUAGCUUUGAGGGUUUCGGCCAAUGAUGUCUCAGCGGCAUCUCUUCCGGACAUUGUUGCUUAUCUCGGAAGUGUGAUAAAGAAAAAAUCUGACCACUCAAGAACCUAAUAUCCCCACAGACGGCGCCAAAAUGUGGAUGUCGGAUUCACACACUCAAGUAUUUUGUUUAAGUGGGAAAGAUUAUUCUUGAGGGACAAAAAUGAAUAUGUAAAAACUUAUAAAUUGAUACGAAAACUGCUAUAGUAUUUCUCUCUUGAGAGGAAGAUCCCCUUUACAUGGCCAUUGGCCUCUAUAUUUAUACACCGAUAAACGACAUUAAAAUGAGUAAUUAAGCACAAUUAUUUCUUCUUAAAUGUGUCCGUUUUGAUUCUUCGGCUUUAAUGCUCAACGUUUGAAUUUGAGUUGACUCUGAUCUUCAUGGGCCUCGCCUCUUUCGGCCCAAGUGUCCUUGAACCGACUUACCCGUGUCUUCUACACCGAACUCGUGUCAUAGUGCAGUCACUUCGGAUUCUCGAAAUGGUGACAACCACUUCGACCGUUCCUUCGGCUCACGGGUCCAAUGGGCUCCAUCCUUUAUGGGUCAUUAUCUUGAUCACGUGGCAAUCUUUGGUUGGUCUCGUACUUCUGGUGCGGGAUCCGACACCAACAUAAGGUAUUCAAAAAGAACUUCUCCAAAGAUUUGAAUACCGGAAACUUAUUAGAUAAGGUGGCAUAAGACUAGAUCU
Molecule: long non-coding RNA, 12522 nt
Filed under: Arabidopsis lyrata
Lineage: Eukaryota; Viridiplantae; Streptophyta; Magnoliopsida; Brassicales; Brassicaceae
Description: long non-coding RNA (ALYR_LNC001406)
Source: RNAcentral